AAGACGAGAAGACCCUGUCGAGUUUAAUUGAAAUUUUUAUAAAGUUAUAAUUUUUAAUCUUUAUUGGGGCAAUAUAAAUCAAAAUAACGGUUUAUAAAAAUAACUAAGAUCCUUUUUAGAAAGAAAUAGGCUAAAAACUGCCGCUAGGGAUAACAGCGUUAUCCUUUUUUAAGAGAUCGAAUUGAGAAAAGGGUUUAGCGACCUCGAUGUUG
RNAcentral lists this ribosomal RNA (212 nucleotides) under Dosinia exoleta. RNAcentral describes it as "partial 16S ribosomal RNA". Lineage: Eukaryota; Metazoa; Mollusca; Bivalvia; Venerida; Veneridae. The record is from RNAcentral.